CCGCCAGAGAACUACAAGUGAAAAACUUGAAACUCAAAGGACUUGACGGUGUCCCAUAUCGGCCUAGAGGAGCCUGUCCUGUAAUCGAUACCCCCCGUUCCACCCAACCUUAACUAGUAAAAUACCAGCCUAUAUACCGCCGUCGACAGUCUACCCUAUGAAGGCCCAACAGUAGACAUAAUAGCCUCCCCCGCUAACACGUCAGGUCAAGGUGUAGCAAAUGUUAAGGAAGAGAUUGGCUACAUUUUUUAAAAUAAAAACACGAAAAGCACUAUGAAACCCUGCAUGAAGGUGAAUUUAGUAGUAAAAU
Molecule: ribosomal RNA, 310 nt
Filed under: Archaeolacerta bedriagae (Bedriaga's rock lizard)
Lineage: Eukaryota; Metazoa; Chordata; Lepidosauria; Squamata; Lacertidae
Description: partial 12S ribosomal RNA
Rfam family: Bacterial small subunit ribosomal RNA
Source: RNAcentral